GUAGGGUGCGAGCGUUAAUCGGAAUUACUGGGCGUAGAGCGUGCGCAGGCGGUCUGUUAAGACAGAUGUGAAAUCCCCGGGCUCAACCUGGGAACUGCAUUCGUGACUGGCAGGCUAGAGUAUGGCAGAGGGGGGUAGAAUUCCACGUGUAGCAGUGAAAUGCGUAGAGAUGUGGAGGAAUACCGAUGGCGAAGGCAGCCCCCUGGGCCAACACUGACGCUCAUGCACGAAAGCGUGGGGAGCAAACAGGAUUAGAUACCCUGGUAGUCCCACGCCCUAAACGAUGUCAACUAGUUGUUGGGGGUUCAUUUCCUUAGUAACGUAGCUAACGCGUGAAGUUGACCGCCUGGGAGUACGGUCGCAAGAUUA
Molecule: ribosomal RNA, 369 nt
Filed under: uncultured organism
Description: partial 16S ribosomal RNA
Rfam family: Bacterial small subunit ribosomal RNA
Source: RNAcentral